AGAGUUUGAUCCUGGCUCAGAACGAACGCUGGCGGCAGGCUUAACACAUGCAAGUCGAGCGCUGUAGCAAUACAGAGCGGCAGACGGGUGAGUAACACGUGGGAAUCUACCCAACCCUACGGAACAACUCCGGGAAACUGGAGCUAAUACCGUAUACGCCCUUCGGGGGAAAGAUUUAUCGGGGAUGGAUGAGCCCGCGUUGGAUUAGCUAGUUGGUGGGGUAAAGGCCUACCAAGGCGACGAUCCAUAGCUGGUCUGAGAGGAUGAUCAGCCACAUUGGGACUGAGACACGGCCCAAACUCCUACGGGAGGCAGCAGUGGGGAAUAUUGGACAAUGGGCGCAAGCCUGAUCCAGCCAUGCCGCGUGAGUGAUGAAGGCCUUAGGGUUGUAAAGCUCUUUCACCGAUGAAGAUAAUGACGGUAGUCGGAGAAGAAGCCCCGGCUAACUUCGUGCCAGCAGCCGCGGUAAUAC
This 472-nucleotide ribosomal RNA is filed under the name uncultured bacterium. Its description in RNAcentral is "bacterial SSU rRNA". It matches the Rfam family "Bacterial small subunit ribosomal RNA", at positions 8 to 526 of the family's 1533-position model. The record is from RNAcentral.